CGGAACUAAACUCGUGGUUCCUGUGGUUCACACCUGACCUCCUGACAAGAAAAGAAAAAGAAUGGCGGCCGCUUCAGGGAUCCCCGGGGAAACCUGGAGCGAACUAGCAAAAAAGGACGGUGGGGAGUGCCCAGCGGCCGACAGGAGUAAUUCCCGCCGAAACAGGGUUUUCACCCUUCCUUUCUUCGGGUGUCCUUCCUCGCGCCCGCAGGUCCACCCCUCGCCCCCUUUGCGCUGUCGCUUCAGCUAUUACCCGGUGGAAACAACUGAAGACCGCUUUUUCUCUAUCUAACUUGUUCCGGGGCGAGGGUGUUUAGCCCUUGGAACCGCAGUUGGUUCCU
Molecule: unclassified non-coding RNA, 341 nt
Filed under: Potato spindle tuber viroid
Lineage: Pospiviroidae
Rfam family: Pospiviroid RY motif stem loop (bases 136-214)
Source: RNAcentral